ACGGAGCAACGCCGCGUGAGUGAUGAAGGUUUUCGGAUCGUAAAACUCUGUUGUUAGGGAAGAACAAGUACCGUUCGAAUAGGGCGGCACCUUGACGGUACCUAACCAGAAAGCCACGGCUAACUACGUGCCAGCAGCCGCGGUAAUACGUAGGUGGCAAGCGUUGUCCGGAAUUAUUGGGCGUAAAGCGCGCGCAGGCGGUUUCUUAAGUCUGAUGUGAAAGCCCCCGGCUCAACCGGGGAGGGUCAUUGGAAACUGGGGAACUUGAGUGCAGAAGAGGAGAGUGGAAUUCCACGUGUAGCGGUGAAAUGCGUAGAGAUGUGGAGGAACACCAGUGGCGAAGGCGACUCUCUGGUCUGUAACUGACGCUGAGGCGCGAAAGCGUGGGGAGCGAACAGGAUUAGAUACCCUGGUAGUCCACGCCGUAAACGAUGAGUGCUAAGUGUUAGAGGGUUUCCGCCCUUUAGUGCUGCAGCAAACGCAUUAAGCACUCCGCCUGGGGAGUACGGUCGCAAGACUGAAACUCAAAGGAAUUGACGGGGGCCCGCACAAGCGGUGGAGCAUGUGGUUUAAUUCGAAGCAACGCGAAGAACCUUACCAGGUCUUGACAUCCUCUGACAACCCUAGAGAUAGGGCUUCCCCUUCGGGGGCAGAGUGACAGGUGGUGCAUGGUUGUCGUCAGCUCGUGUCGUGAGAUGUUGGGUUAAGUCCCGCAACGAGCGCAACCCUUGAUCUUAGUUGCCAGCAUUCAGUUGGGCACUCUAAGGUGACUGCCGGUGACAAACCGGAGGAAGGUGGGGAUGACGUCAAAUCAUCAUGCCCCUUAUGA
Molecule: ribosomal RNA, 829 nt
Filed under: bacterium
Lineage: Bacteria
Description: bacterial SSU rRNA
Rfam family: Bacterial small subunit ribosomal RNA
Source: RNAcentral